RNAcentral lists this ribosomal RNA (253 nucleotides) under uncultured bacterium. Its description in RNAcentral is "partial 16S ribosomal RNA". It matches the Rfam family "Bacterial small subunit ribosomal RNA", at positions 524 to 776 of the family's 1533-position model. The record is from RNAcentral.
UACGGAGGAGGCAAGCGUUAUCCGGAAUUAUUGGGCGUAAAGCGUCCGCAGGUGGCACUUCAAGUCUGCCGUCAAAGACUGGGGCUUAACCCUGGAAAGGCGGUGGAAACUGAAGCGCUAGAGUGCGGUAGGGGUAGAGGGAAUUCCCGGUGUAGCGGUGAAAUGCGUAGAGAUCGGGAAGAACAUCGGUGGCGAAAGCGCUCUACUGGACCGCAACUGACACUGAGGGACGAAAGCGUGGGGAGCAAACAGG